Molecule: ribosomal RNA, 270 nt
Filed under: uncultured bacterium
Lineage: Bacteria
Description: partial 16S ribosomal RNA
Rfam family: Bacterial small subunit ribosomal RNA
Source: RNAcentral
AUUGAACGCUGGCGGCAUGCCUUACACAUGCAAGUCGAACGGCAGCGCGGGGCAACCUGGCGGCGAGUGGCGAACGGGUGAGUAAUAUAUCGGAACGUGCCCUGGAGUGGGGGAUAACGCAGCGAAAGUUGCGCUAAUACCGCAUACGAUCUAAGGAUGAAAGCAGGGGACCGCAAGGCCUUGUGCUCCUGGAGCGGCCGAUAUCUGAUUAGCUAGUUGGUGGGGUAAAGGCCUACCAAGGCAUCGAUCAGUAGCUGGUCUGAGAGGACG